RNAcentral lists this unclassified non-coding RNA (299 nucleotides) under Hevea brasiliensis (rubber tree). Lineage: Eukaryota; Viridiplantae; Streptophyta; Magnoliopsida; Malpighiales; Euphorbiaceae. The record is from RNAcentral.
GAAGCUGCGGCGUUCCGGCCAGAUCCCUGUGUCGAUGACGGCAAUGACGAGAUCGGAGCCGAAGCCGGACUCGGCGAGGAGGCCGGAGGUGUCGUCGGACUUGAGACCGAGGAACUGCGGGGAGCGGGUGGUGUGGGGAUGGCGGAUCUGUUCGGGGAAGACAGCAACGACGCCGGGGGAGGCAGAGAGUGCAGCGGCGGCGGCGGGGGAUAGGCGGGCGGAGAAGCCGUGGAAGACGGAGGAGUAAGUGUGAAUGAGCGGGCCGCCCGGGGGAAAGGGGGCAACGACGCCGUCGCUGG